GAGAUUUUGACUCCCAUUUACUCUAGGAUGCCUAGACUCAGAUAAAGACCAUCCCAACAGGCAGUUCAAUACUGAGCACAUUUAGUAUCCUGUAUACAGGAGAUUGAAUGGAGAUAACAGAAGGUCAGGAGGCUUUGAGAGUUCACCAAUUUUGUCAGUUGUGGAAAUUCAUCAUUAUCUUUGAGGCAUGAAGCCAGUAUGGGUUCACUCCAUUAAGACUCACAUUUGAUUUGUGAUCUCACUGACCCAGGGAACCAGCAUGUGAUCAUAGGAAAUACAUAUAUGAUGGAAUCAUUAAGAUACACCAUAAUAAGGACUCCAAUAGAGUGAGUACAAGGUGCUACAGAAGGAGAGUGGACAGAAGUGAGUGGUGUGAGUAGAGAGACAGCAAGUGGGAUGAGCAUUCAGUUCGCAUCUGCUCAUGAAAUGAGCAUGAGGUGAUAUUCUAGCUGGGCUCUACAGGACAAAGAGGAGUUGGCUAGGCAAAAGAGGGAGAAAGCACACUUAGAGGGGAGGAAGUCUUUCAGGCCAAGACCACCUUGAUGUGUAAGCUUGCAUAAUUCUAAGAGAUGAUAGAGACAAAAUGGUAGAAUCAAAGAGGUGAAAGGAGCUUAGAUACUACCUAAUCCCACCCCAAUCUCCGCACUGAUUUACUUGAGAACUGGAGAGGAUGAACAAAUUGCUCAACUCUGGAAGAUCUAGGAUUCCAAAUCUUAUGCUGAAGAGUGGGCUGUUGCAGCUAGGAGAACUUCAAGGUCAUCUGCAAUAUGGCCACAACUCUCAUAGACUCCACAGGCCUUGUGAUGGAUGACCAGUCCUCAGCUGAUGAAGAGGGGGAGGUAGGCUGAGUUGGAGCAGGUCUAGGUCAGGGGACUAAUUGCUGUUGUCACUAACAAAGGGAUACAGACGCCACCACUGCAGUGGCUAAAGGGGAUUUUUUUUUCAUUUUUAAAAUUGUUAUUAAAGUGUAGUUGAUUUACAAUGUUUCAUCCAGUUCUGAUGUUCAAUAAAGUGCCCCAAUCAUACA
This 1027-nucleotide long non-coding RNA is filed under the name Sus scrofa (pig). RNAcentral describes it as "lncRNA (ENSSSCG00070004533.1)". Lineage: Eukaryota; Metazoa; Chordata; Mammalia; Artiodactyla; Suidae. The record is from RNAcentral.